This is a long non-coding RNA of Juglans regia (Persian walnut), 1437 nucleotides long. RefSeq lists it as uncharacterized. The transcript has 3 exons. Lineage: Eukaryota; Viridiplantae; Streptophyta; Magnoliopsida; Fagales; Juglandaceae. The record is from RefSeq and is a predicted model, not a curated record.
GCGUUUUCCCUUAGUUCCUUUGAUUCCCUCCAGUUGUCUCCUCCCCCCUCCCUCUUCUCCCUCGAUCCCCACUCUUCGUGCCUCCACGCAGCAGCCACUUCACCCCGCCGUCGACCCAACGUCACCGUCCACCUCCACUAUCACCGGCCAACCCAGCCGAGCCCCUCCCUCGCGCUUUCUCUCUCUCCCGCAGAUCUCCCUCUCUCUUCUCUCUCGGAUUCUCAGUGUCGCGUCGUCCGCAGCUACCCUCCAGCUACCCCCCCAACCCCUCCACUGAAGCUCUCCCUCUCUCUCACCGUCGAUCUUCUCUCCCCCUCACGGAUCUCACUCAAGCUCCUAUACCCACUGUGCGCCGCCUUCCUCCACGGCAAAGCACCGCAGGAACUGCAACCCAUUGUAUUUCAGAAUCUAGAGAUUUCCCAAACAGAGGCUUGCGGUGCCCAAAGCUUCUAUCUUUUCCGUAGUUUGAUUCUUUCGUAAAAAAUGUAUUGUCUUUGUUUGGUUUCUGAGAAAAUUAAAUUUAAAAAAUUGGAACUCUUGCAAGAUUUUACUUUUGAUUCCUCAAGCGUUGUUUGGUAACGAAAAUAAGACAAUGAAAGACUCGGAUUUGGUUUGGAUUAAGUGUUGCAUAUAACUAAGUUUGGGUUUAAGUAAGUAAAUUUAGUUUUGUUGCUGUUGCUGUGAAUUAGAGAAUUUUGAAAUAUGGAAAUAGAAGGUUUUGUUCAUAUAUGCUUUUGGGUUGUAGUAAUAAUGGCUAAAGACAGACCCAACUGGGAGGGAUUGCUCAAAUGGAGAGGGAGCUCAAGCUUAAGUGUACGAGGGAAAGUAACGCAAAUGGAGAUGAAAGGAAGAUCGUGACAGCUUUAUAGAGAUUUUUUAUAUUCUGGCCUGCAUACUUGUUGAUGGGUAACUCUUAUUUUGAGUCCAAGUUUCACUAAAUUCGGGGUAAAGAAUUACCAAAAGCUGGAUGAAUAGGCCCUAUGAUAUGGCAGCCAUCAAAUGUAAUGGGAGGGAAGGGGAGAUAAUUGUGGAUGUGUGAAUAAGUAUUAAACUAUCUUAUUGACUGUGAGGGUGAUUAAGUGUUUUAAUAUAUAAGGUAGCCAGUUUGGAUGAUGGUUGUUAGUUUAAUUUUCUGAAUGGAGAAUCAAAAGGGAAUUUUUCGAGGGAGAGGAACUUCCACCGCUUGAACAUUCUUCGGCUUCUUCCUUACAUUCUUCCAGUUCCAACACAAUCCCAGCAUAUUCGGAAUGUCAAUCUAUUCUCUAUAAUCUUGUUCUGGUUAAAUCUACACGGUUCUUUAAAAAGCAAUGAAGUUGUUCUCUGUAAUUUGCUGUAAUUUCUUUUUUUGUUCUGAAGCUACUUCUUUGUGUAAUUAGGACCUUGAAGUGCAGUCUUUAUUAUCUGGAUGCUAGCUAUAUGGUUCUAUUUUUUCUCAAA